UCCUGCAGCCACAAACACAGCCUUUCUCUCUCUCAGAAGCUAUACUCCAGAGUCCAGAUGAAGAAUUACUUGAUCUCAACUGAAUUAUUAGUCUAUACUUCUUGAGACUGCAAGAGUUCUGUUUUAAUUCGCAGGUUUUCCUUUUCUGGAUAUGGCUUUGGUUGGAGUUUAUCACAAGCAUUUUUGUCAGGAUAAAGUACACACGAUAUGUGGAAGAUGAACUCACCGUAUGGACUGGUAGAGAACUUCCAGGUAAUCUUGCAGGUACUCUGAUCUGUAGUCGUCGUCAAACUCAAUCUUGCUUGGGGUUUUGGGGGCGUCUGCAAAUCCUGAAUCGUCGAACAAAAGAUUCAAAGUCUCAGGUGGUCCAGUAACUUCCCUAGAGCCCAAGGAGCAGACUCAAGAUGGCCCUGGACAUAUUACAUUAAUAUAAUUAACACACCUCGAUUCAGAAGAAAAGGAAGAAAAUUAUCAGCUGAUGUGUUGUGUUUGCUGAAAGAGCUUUGCUUCUGACUGCUUUGUAUGUACCUCUUGGAUGUCUUUAAAUGGAUCUGAAUGCAGGCACGAAAAUGUUGCAUGUUAGUGAGGCUGAAUUGCAUUCAUAGCAAUGCUUCAUUUGGAGCACAAAUUUGAAUUGGAACGGCAGCUGCUUGAUUAGCGCA
Molecule: long non-coding RNA, 662 nt
Organism: Brachypodium distachyon (stiff brome)
Lineage: Eukaryota; Viridiplantae; Streptophyta; Magnoliopsida; Poales; Poaceae
Exons: 2
Source: RefSeq, a predicted model, not a curated record